UGGAUAUCCAUGCCGUGGCUUGAGCCAAAGAGCCAGCUAGCUCAUUGCCAGCCAGCUGGCUGCUCGGCUUCCGUUCCAUUCUGCCGAGUUUGUUGCACGCUACAUUAUUUCAACGCCUGCCGUGCCGUAUGUAUGUACUUUUUGAAAACACAAUUUUUCUCCGACAUCGCAAAGACCGCGAUAAGAACGUGUGAACUGUGAUUGCGGGCUUUCGCGGUGUUCAUCCUGCGUCAUCAGAAAGUCUCACUGUCGGCAGCACUACUGAGGCGUCAUCGCUUUCAUCUUGGGAAGACUCAAGUUGGGCCUGGAACAUCGUUAUCUACGAAAUUCCAAAAAUUGGGUCCAUACCUUAAAAGGAGCACCAACCGAAAAAGUAUGCCUUGGACUUCACAGAACUGAAUGCGCUUCCCUGCUGAAUUGCUGUGGUCAUUCCGCUUCAGGGCCGAUGUCAUCAAGUAUCCAACAACACGUGCAAGUUGGGACGUCGCUACCACCGCCAUCAGCAUGGGAGAACGAACCCCAUUAUGAUGCUACGCUUCGCCCGUCAUGCCCGGAGGACCCUUUUGGAGCACCAGCGACAUCUCGCAUGUCAGCGAGACUUCAUGAAAGGCUGAGCGUGACCCAUGCGCGCUUCACUAGGCUUGGUGGAACCAUUCGGAGCACCAUGCUAAACUGCGUGUUCUUCGUUCAACAGGUGAUUGAUGUCUAGAAAAAGAAGUUGUCGACAAGCACAUGGACGCCUGCUGCAAACUUUCCAUUCAGGGCAACAGGAGCAAGAAAAUUGAUGUUUCAGUGCCAGUGGCUGCAGUGAUCGAACUGGCUCGUCUAUUCCAAAGAGAAUGGCGCCUUUUGUAAAUAUUGUGUCCUUUUCGCUCCAUCUGGGGUCGGUGUGCGAAGCCUGCCCUCAGGCAAACUUGUGAUGUCAAAGUUUGACAAAUGGAAAAAUGCGAUUGAGGCUUUUAACAAGAAUGAGAAAAAGUCGUUUCACAGAAACAGCGUCUUUGACGCGGACAAUUUUCUAGCAGUUUUAGAUAGCAAGAAGAACCCUAUUGACCAUGAUCUUGACCACAGGCUAAGAGAGAAAAUAGCCAAGAAUAGAAAAAAACCUUACUCCUCUUAUUAUAACGGUAGUCUGGUGCGGAAGACAGGGAGUUGCUCUUCGAAGUCAUAGAGAUGGAGGGCGAAUAGAUUUGUCGAGCGAGCCUGCAGAGAAUGAAGGGAAUUUCAAGGCCUUGGCUUAGGUUGUGCGCCCGUAACGGGGAUGAUUUUCUGAAGAGUCACUUCAAAGAAUGUGGCGCUAAUGCAACUUGCACUAGUUGGAGAACCCAAAAUGAGAUUAUCUCAGCAUGCCAUUGCAUUAUUCUGCGAAAGCAGCUAGUUUCUAAAGUCAAAGUUGCUAAAUGUUUCGCAAUAUUAGCUGAUGAGACAGCCGAUAUAGCCGGCGUUGAGCAGCUUUCAAUUUGUGCACGCUACGUGGAAAAAAUUGAAAUUCGGGAAGAGUUUCUGCAGUUUGUCCCUGUUAGUGACCUAACUAGAAGGGGCCUGGUCGAUACAAUUUUAAAAGGCUUGAGAACUAUAUGCAUUGCAACCGAGUACCUCAGAGCUCAAGGGUAUGACGGUGCAGCCCCAAUGAGUGGUGCUUACAACGGCGUUCAAGCACUCGUCCAACAGCAGUGUGCUAACACCAUUUAUGUUCAAUGUCACUCUCACAGCCUUAAUUUGAGUCUGUAGAGUGCAUGCUCUGUGCCUCAGAUUAGAAAUUGCAUGGGUACUGUGGCGAAAGUUGGUGAGUUUUUUCAUGCGAGUCCAAAACGCGAGGCUGCUCUAGGUUACCAAAUUGAAAAGUUAAUACCGAAGGCUCGUGUGACACACCUGAAGUCACUUUGUCCAACGAGAUGGGUUCAGAGACACGAUGCUCUGAAUGUGUUUGUAAACAUUCUCCAGCCAGUUUUGUCUAGUCUCCAAGACACUAGUGAAAGCUAGAAUGAUCGAGAAUUUUCGUGCAAUGCUCAAAUCGUUCUUAGCGCUUUGCAGAUAGGUGAAUUUCUCGUCUUACUUUUUGUUGCAGAAAAAAUUUUCUCCAUAAGUUUGCCGUUAAGCAAAUACUCGCAAACCGUCAGCUUAGAUUUUUUCUCCGUUCUAAGGUUGGCUGAUGAUGUUUUGUUUACUGCAUGUAACCUUAGAUCCCGUGCUGAAGAGGUAUUUCGUGAACUUUUUGAACAUGUUAUGUCAGUUUGUGAAAAGCUUGGUUAUUGAAGUGCCAAGGCUCAUUGGUCAGCAAAGAAUGUGCUCAAAUGUGCCUUCAUCGACUCCGGAGGAGUACUUCCAUCAUUGUGUAUUCCUCCCAUUUUUCGAAGCUUUAACAGAACAAAUUGAUGAGACAUUUGUGAAGCGCAAGAGCAUUCUUACUAAAUUUGAAAUUCUGUUUUCUUCUUCAUUAAGUCUGUUACCAAGUAAGGAUGAUGAAAAUGCGAUGCGCAUUCUCUGUAAGAGCUACAGUUCUGAUGUCGGGGACUCAGUUUUGUCUGCUGUAGGAGAGAUAUACCUUUGGUACAGUAAGCUUCAGCAGCUUGAAAAAUGCCCAAUGAGUCCUCUAGAAGGCCUGGAAUCCUGUCCAGGUGGCAUAUUUUCUGUGACCCAAAAACUACUUCAAAUUAUGGCUACUCUGCCAGUAGCGGCUUCUACAAGUGAGAGGUCCUUCUCAACUCUGAGAUGUCUUGAAAGCUAUCUUCGCAGCUCGAUUGGGGCGCUAAGGUUAGAUGGUCUAGCUUUUCAAAAUAUUCACCGAGAAGUUCCUUUAUCACCUGAAGAGAUUUUGGGCGAAUCGGCAACGAAGCCACGACGGCUGGGCUGUAGCUGUAGAAUGUCUCACCCACGAACACAUCACUGCUACAAAGACCUGCUUGAGAACACGAAUUGUGGGUGCUGCCUCCUGAAUAAUGGUUUUACACAGUCUUCAACAAGAUGUGCAUGCCUGUAGUUUAAUAUGUGUAUUUUUUCCGUUUUAAUUAGUUAUUUCAUCUGUGCUUAAUCAUACUGAUUUAUCCUUCCGGGCUCAGUUCACACUAUAUUAUCUUGCUCUUCGGUCACUUGACCAGUUGAUUAUUAACUUAUUUGCAAUGUUAGUAUGGUACUGUAAGUGAAGCUGUCUUGCUCGUGCAUUCUCUUCGUCCUUCCAACUGGCAUAACUUGCGCAUUCCUUGAAUUCUUCCACUACAUCAGUCAAUAGUAACCUAAAAUGCUUACGAAACUCACCGCUUCCAUGGCUGUAUAACUAAGAGCUUGAGCGGAUGACUCCUCUACAACUUGUCUCUGACGUGACCAUCGGCGCCGCUAUACUGUCUGUCACCAGUGCAACAUGCAAGCUUUCCCUGCGUAUAAAUUUGCUCCACACCCUGUUAUAUAGGCCCCUUUCUACUAUCAGAAGCAAGGCAUUUUACUUGUGCUCAUGCUGGUAACUUGCUUGUGAAUUAUGUAUAUGGUUUACUUCUCUCUGAGUUCUCUUCCCUAUGUUGCCGACAACAACUGGAAGACAACCAGCACAAGUGCACCAAACUAACACACCUGUGAUGACGCAGCUGCUUUGACAGAAACAAAUCCUUCUGUCGAAAUGUUAGACAGGACGACUUAGGCUCUUACCUGAUUUGACUUUAAUUUUGCUAACAAUGCCAUGAUGAUACGCGUGAACGGCCAACUAAGAAUCCUAGCUUACGAGAAUGAAUUUCUGAAGUAUUUUUCCUUACGUCAGGUAAACUUUCAGAUUUUAACCAUACAAGACGACCUUGAGAGAAUAAAUAUUUUUGGAAACAUUCUUGGAUAUAUAUUUCGUGUAGUAGUUCCUUCAAUAGACUGAGUUGGGAGAUAUUGCCUGUUUGUCUUCUCACCUUUAGUUUUUUCAUCUAUUGUGUGCGCCCCAAAAUGUUGCCAAGAAUGUCCUCAAACCAACUCACCCAACUUUCGAUACUAUUACAGAAUAAAUAUUAUAUACCUCUUAUAGACCUGAAUAAAGAAUUUCUCAGUGUGCUUGAA
Rhipicephalus microplus (southern cattle tick) is the source of this 4029-nucleotide long non-coding RNA. NCBI's taxonomy places the organism in Eukaryota, Metazoa, Arthropoda, Arachnida, Ixodida, Ixodidae. The record is from RefSeq and is a predicted model, not a curated record.